This 253-nucleotide ribosomal RNA is filed under the name uncultured bacterium. RNAcentral describes it as "partial 16S ribosomal RNA". It matches the Rfam family "Bacterial small subunit ribosomal RNA", at positions 524 to 776 of the family's 1533-position model. The record is from RNAcentral.
GACAGAGGGUGCAAACGUUGCUCGGAAUCACUGGGCGUAAAGGGCGUGUAGGCGGGAAGUAAAGUCAGAUGUGAAAUCCCUGGGCUCAACCCAGGAACUGCAUUUGAAACUCACUUUCUUGAGUACCGGAGAGGAAGGUGGAAUACCUGGUGUAGAGGUGAAAUUCGUAGAUAUUGGGAAGAACACCGGUGGCGAAGGCGGCGACCUGGUCCAUUACUGACGCUGAGGCGCGACAGCGUGGGGAGCAAACAGG